This is a long non-coding RNA of Papaver somniferum (opium poppy), 259 nucleotides long. RefSeq lists it as uncharacterized. The transcript has 3 exons. The record is from RefSeq and is a predicted model, not a curated record. NCBI's taxonomy places the organism in Eukaryota, Viridiplantae, Streptophyta, Magnoliopsida, Ranunculales, Papaveraceae.
AGAGCUAAAAGAAUAUCCCAGCAUACCUAGACGAUCUCCGCAAAGACUGUGUGGUAUGUUGUGAAGGUUAAGCUGUAUCAAGCUAUGUACUAGAGUCAAUUCGAAGAACCAUUAACAUGGCAGCUAAUGUUUGCAGUUUCAACAACAAAGGCUGAUAAAGUUGUCUUGCAAUGGGAAAGCGGGAGAAUCUCUUGAGUUUUCUCAUGAAGAGUUUUCACUAACAGGAAGAAGUUGAUAUAAUUUCUUAUCCCCUUUUGCU